RNAcentral lists this ribosomal RNA (402 nucleotides) under uncultured prokaryote. Its description in RNAcentral is "bacterial SSU rRNA". It matches the Rfam family "Bacterial small subunit ribosomal RNA", at positions 355 to 774 of the family's 1533-position model. The record is from RNAcentral.
UGGGGAAUAUUGGGCAAUGGGCGAAAGCCUGACCCAGCAACGCCGCGUGAAGGAAGAAGGUUUUCGGAUCGUAAACUUCUAUCCUUGGUGAAAAUAAUGAUGGUAGCCAAGAAGGAAGCCCCGGCUAACUACGUGCCAGCAGCCGCGGUAAUACGUAGGGGGCAAGCGUUGUCCGGAAUGAUUGGGCGUAAAGGGCGCGUAGGCGGCCUGGUAAGUCUGGAGUGAAAGUCCUGCUUUUAAGGUGGGAAUUGCUUUGGAUACUGUCGGGCUUGAGUGCAGGAGAGGUAAGUGGAAUUCCCGGUGUAGCGGUGAAAUGCGUAGAGAUCGGGAGGAACACCAGUGGCGAAGGCGACUUACUGGACUGUACCUGACGCUGAGGCGCAAAAGCGUGGGGAGCGAACA